This 125-nucleotide small RNA is filed under the name Marmota monax (woodchuck). The record is from RNAcentral. Lineage: Eukaryota; Metazoa; Chordata; Mammalia; Rodentia; Sciuridae.
GCUGGGCAUGGUGGCACAUGCCUGCAAUCCCAACUGCUCAGGAGGCUGAGACUGGAGGAUUGCAAGUUCAAAGCCAGCCUUAUGAAAAGCAAGGUGCUAAGCAACUCAUUGAGACCCUGUCUCUA